GACGAACGCUGGCGGCGUGCUUAACACAUGCAAGUCGAACGAUGAAGAAGAGAAACGCGAACUUCGGUUCAAAUUUCACUUCGGAUUAGUGGCAGACGGGUGAGUAACGCGUGAGCAACCUACCUCUUACAAAGGGAUAGCCUCGGGAAACCGUGAUUAAUACCAUAUGACACAUUCAUAAGGCAUCUUAAGAAUGUUAAAGCUACGGCGGUAAGAGAUGGGCUCGCGUCCCAUUAGCUAGUUGGUGAGGUAACGGCCCACCAAGGCGACGAUGGGUAACCGGGCUGGGAGGGUGAACGGUAACAUUGGAACUGAGACACGGUCCAAACUCCUACGGGAGGCAGCAGGGGGGAAUAUUGCACAAUGGAGGGAACUCUGAUGCAGCGACGCCGCGUGAGCGAUGAAGGAAUUCGUUUCGUAAAGCUCUGUUCUAUGGGAAGAAAAGGACUGUACCAUAGGAGAAAGCCCCGGCUAAAUACGUG
Molecule: ribosomal RNA, 482 nt
Filed under: uncultured bacterium
Lineage: Bacteria
Description: partial 16S ribosomal RNA
Rfam family: Bacterial small subunit ribosomal RNA
Source: RNAcentral